UCAGAGGGCAUGUCCAGCAACCGCUACUACACCGCCGUGUUCCAGAGUGAGAAUUGGUAAGAAUGCAGAGCAUUGGUAAUUGCAACUGCUUUGGCAUACUCCCAUUGUGACAUUACAUGUAGAUGAUAAGAAUAUAAAUGCAGAGGCAAUUGCAACUACUUUGGCCUACUUGUACGACCACCACCCCAAGCUCAGUGAUACCAAUGCCUUUCGUGUUUUAGCUGCUGCUUCUUUUCUUGAUCUUCAGGUUUGCAUAUCCGUGAAAUUUCUAGUUGGUGGUGCUUCCUUGAAGGAACUUACGGAACUGACACUUUUUAAUAUCUUUCUUAACGUAAGGGAUUCAAUUUCUUUGCACUUAUCAUGAUUAUAUGUACAUUUCAUAUCCCUCUUAAAUUUGGCAUGUGCUACUGGUUUGCUAUGGGACUGAUGUAAGAAUUAAUUUACCAUCUUAUGUCCACAAAAUACAAAAGAGAGCUGAAAGUCUUUGUUGGUGUCUGUUUCGUGGUCCUGCAGUUCUUCCUUUGUUUAUGGCAUACCAAUUUCCGUGAUAAAAGAGUUUUUAACAUUAUGGUUAUUACUGUUAUCAGUUUAAAGACCUUACCUAUGUGCCUCCGCAUUGUUCUGUGCAGAAAAAAAGUUGCAACAGGUCGCAAAACGGCAGUCAGCGGGACAGAAGAUAUUAUAACAUCGAUCACUGAUAAUGAAAGACAACAGACUGGUAUUUCUUUUUUUCCUUAUAUUUUUUUUUUUAGAGUUGUAGGAUAUAUUCCUUUAAAAAUGUUCUUUAAUACUACAACUCCUCAUGACCUUCAAUAUUAAUUUUUUCUUUUUGUCAUGGAAUAUGUUCUUUACUGCAUGUUUUAGCUCUUACUUAUUUUGCAUUCUAACUUCUUUGUUUUUCUUUUACAAUAGGACAAUAUUGCAACAUA
Rosa rugosa (rugosa rose) is the source of this 929-nucleotide long non-coding RNA. RefSeq lists it as uncharacterized. The transcript is spliced from 4 exons. NCBI's taxonomy places the organism in Eukaryota, Viridiplantae, Streptophyta, Magnoliopsida, Rosales, Rosaceae. The record is from RefSeq and is a predicted model, not a curated record.